AGUGAGAGAUCCGCUAAAACUGUAUCCUGCUAAUAUAAAUUAAGCAGGUCGACUGAGCCUGAUAAGGUAGGUCAAAUAUGAUGUCUCCUUGUUGGAAAUUGAAUACCAUAUCGGUAGAUCGAUAAUCAUCCGAUAUGGAUUAAUGUGGACUUUGGUAAACUUUCAGACUAGCUGAUGUGAUAUGACAAUGUUUCACCUAU
RNAcentral lists this long non-coding RNA (200 nucleotides) under Elaeis guineensis (African oil palm). Its description in RNAcentral is "long non-coding RNA (EGUI_LNC030897)". The record is from RNAcentral. Lineage: Eukaryota; Viridiplantae; Streptophyta; Magnoliopsida; Arecales; Arecaceae.